GACGGAGGGUGCUAGCGUUGUUCGGAAUGACUGGGCGUAAAGGGCGCGUAGGUGGCCUGAUAAGUAGGAGGUGAAAUCCUGGGGCUUAACCUCAGGGCUGCCUUCUAGACUGUCCGGCUCGAGCACAGUAGAGGCAGGUGGAAUUCCCGGUGUAGCGGUGGAAUGCGUAGAGAUCGGGAAGAACAUCGGUGGCGAAGGCGGCCUGCUGGGCUGUUGCUGACACUGAGGCGCGACAGCGUGGGGAGCAAACAGG
RNAcentral lists this ribosomal RNA (253 nucleotides) under uncultured bacterium. Its description in RNAcentral is "partial 16S ribosomal RNA". It matches the Rfam family "Bacterial small subunit ribosomal RNA", at positions 524 to 776 of the family's 1533-position model. The record is from RNAcentral.